Molecule: long non-coding RNA, 516 nt
Organism: Lethenteron reissneri (Far Eastern brook lamprey)
Lineage: Eukaryota; Metazoa; Chordata; Hyperoartia; Petromyzontiformes; Petromyzontidae
Source: RefSeq, a predicted model, not a curated record
GUGAGUCGCCUGGGUUGUUCCCUGUUGGUUGUUGUUGUUUUUAGGAGUGAGGUUCGCGCCGUGCGCUGUCCGCUCCCUGGCCUCCUCCUCAUCUACGCCGCCGCCGCCGCCGCUGCUGCUGCUCUCGAUCGUGAAUAUUUAAUGUCGAGGGAACGGGCCGAGUGAAGGGGAGGGAGAGCGCGGGAUGAGUGCCGGAGAAUCACCGGGGCCAGGGGACGGAUGUGGUUUCUCGGGGCUCCCAAGGGGCCGCGCCGCCUCGCCCCCUGCUUCCCGCAGCUCUUCCGCCCAUUAGCGCGCGUGACGGCGGCGUCACAGAGAAAGCUGGCGGGACAUGGCAGAGAAGACGACACGGUUUCAUCAUUGUGCAGAGCAGCUGGACUCCAUUGGCGAGUCUACUAUGGCUGUCAGCAUUUGCUGGCUAAAAUGACGACCAACUCGAGCGUGCUUGGCAUCCUUCACCGUGCUGGACAUUGCGGGUUGGUGCACGCUGGAAGCAGAGAGACUUGUGCGAGGGCU